RNAcentral lists this long non-coding RNA (1326 nucleotides) under Oncorhynchus mykiss (rainbow trout). RNAcentral describes it as "lncRNA (ENSOMYG00000066592.1)". The record is from RNAcentral. Lineage: Eukaryota; Metazoa; Chordata; Actinopteri; Salmoniformes; Salmonidae.
AUGCUAUAUCUAGAAAGUUGUGUCAGCAAGUUUAUUUUCCCCUUUCCCUUCCUCUCAUCCACCUCUGGUUAUCCUGACCCUGAGGGGAUGUAUGCUAUGGAAGGUGGGCUAGCUACCUCACAGACCAGACCUGACCCUGAGGGGAUGUAUGCUAUGGAAGGUGGGCUAGCUACCUCACAGACCAGACCUGACCCUGAGGGGAUGUAUGCUAUGGAAGGUGGGCUAGCUACCUCACAGACCAGACCUGACCCUGAGGGGAUGUAUGCUAUGGAAGGUGGGCUAGCUACCUCACAGACCAGACCUGACCCUGAGGGGAUGUAUGCUAUGGAAGGUGGGCUAGCUACCUCACAGACCAGACCUGACCCUGAGGGGAUGUAUGCUAUGGAAGGUGGGCUAGCUACCUCACAGACCAGACCUGACCCUGAGGGGAUGUAUGCUAUGGGAGGUGGGCUAGCUACCUCACAGACCAGACCUGACCCUGAGGGGAUGUAUGCUAUGGGAGGUGGGCUAGCUACCUCACAGACCAGACCUGACCCUGAGGGGAUGUAUGGUAUGGAAGGUGGGCUAGCUACCUCACAGACCAGACCUGACCCUGAGGGGAUGUAUGGUAUGGAAGGUGGGCUAGCUACCUCACAGACCAGACCUGACCCUGAGGGGAUGUAUGCUAUGGAAGGUGGGCUAGCUACCUCACAGACCAGACCUGACCCUGAGGGGAUGUAUGGUAUGGAAGGUGGGCUAGCUACCUCACAGACCAGACCUGACCCUGAGGGGAUGUAUGGUAUGGAAGGUGGGCUAGCUACCUCACAGACCAGACCUGACCCUGAGGGGAUGUAUGCUAUGGAAGGUGGGCUAGCUACCUCACAGACCAGACCUGACCCUGAGGGGGUGUAUGCUAUGGAAGGUGGGCUAGCUACCUCACAGACCAGACCUGACCCUGAGGGGAUGUAUGCUAUGGAAGGUGGGCUAGCUACCUCACAGACCAGACCUGACCCUGAGGGGAUGUAUGCUAUGGAAGGUGGGCUAGCUACCUCACAGACCAGACCUGACCCUGAGGGGAUGUAUGGUAUGGAAGGUGGGCUAGCUACCUCAUUGACCAGACCUGACCCUGAGGGGAUGUAUGCUAUGGAAGGUGGGCUAGCUACCUCACAGACCAGACCUGACCCUGAGGGGAUGUAUGCUAUGGAAGGUGGGCUAGCUACCUCACAGACCAGACCUGACCCCGAGGGGUUGUAUGCUAUGGGAGGUGGGCUAGCUACCUCACAGACCAGACCUGACCCUGAGGGGAUGUAUGGUAUGGAAGGUGGGCUAGCUACAUCACAGACCUGA